Lutra lutra (Eurasian river otter) is the source of this 106-nucleotide small nuclear RNA. The record is from RefSeq and is a predicted model, not a curated record. Lineage: Eukaryota; Metazoa; Chordata; Mammalia; Carnivora; Mustelidae.
GUGCCCGCUUCAGCGGCACAUAUACCAAAAUUGGAAGGAUACAGAGACGAUUAGCAUGGCCCUGUGCAAGGAUGAUAUGCAAAUUUGUGAAACGUUCCAUAUUUUU